Hebeloma cylindrosporum is the source of this 98-nucleotide non-coding RNA. The record is from the annotation of a GenBank genome assembly. NCBI's taxonomy places the organism in Eukaryota, Fungi, Basidiomycota, Agaricomycetes, Agaricales, Hymenogastraceae.
GGUUCAAUGGUCUAGUGGUUAUGAUUUCUGUCUCACAUUGAGACUCGCCGAGUUCUUUGGCUCACAGAAGGUCUCCAGUUCGAUCCUGGAUUGAACCA